RNAcentral lists this unclassified non-coding RNA (228 nucleotides) under uncultured fungus. RNAcentral's name for it is "sequence contains ITS1, 5.8S rRNA gene". The stretch from base 180 to 228 matches the Rfam family "5.8S ribosomal RNA", at positions 1 to 49 of the family's 154-position model. Lineage: Eukaryota; Fungi. The record is from RNAcentral.
UUUCCGUAGGUGAACCUGCGGAGGGAUCAUUACUGAUUGAGGGUCUCCCGGCCCGACCUCCAACCCUUUGUGAAUCGUACUCGUUGCUUCGGUGGCGACCCUGCCGUCCGCGGCUGAGCGCCCCCGGGGUCAAUCAAACACUGCAUUCUCUGCGUCGGAGUAUUAGUAAAUCUAAUCAAAACUUUCAACAACGGAUCUCUUGGUUCUGGCAUCGAUGAAGAACGCAGC